This 253-nucleotide ribosomal RNA is filed under the name uncultured bacterium. RNAcentral describes it as "partial 16S ribosomal RNA". It matches the Rfam family "Bacterial small subunit ribosomal RNA", at positions 524 to 776 of the family's 1533-position model. The record is from RNAcentral.
UACAGAGGUGCCAAGCGUUAGGCGGAAUCACUGGGCUUAGAGCGCGUGUAGGUGGACGGGUAAGUAUCUUGUGAAAUCCCACGGCUCAACCGUGGAACUGCUGGAUAUACUGCUUGUCUUGAGGCACUUAGGGGCAGCUGGAACAAAUGGUGGAGCGGUGAAAUGCGUAGAUAUCAUGUGGAACGCCAAAGGCGAAAGCAGGCUGCUGGGAGAGAUCUGACGCUGAGACGCGAAAGCGAGGGGAGCAAACGGG